Molecule: long non-coding RNA, 293 nt
Organism: Rhincodon typus (whale shark)
Lineage: Eukaryota; Metazoa; Chordata; Chondrichthyes; Orectolobiformes; Rhincodontidae
Exons: 2
Source: RefSeq, a predicted model, not a curated record
UGCUCCAACAGGGCAGCGCAGGAGUACCCAUGACCAUGAGGGGACAGUAGUGAGUGCACCUGGCCCAAUCCUCCUGGGAAGGAAUGCUUACAUUGCCAAGAAACAACUUGGAGCAAAUGAUGUUUCUGGGAGACCUUGGGUUCUGCAUGGAGUAGCCAUUGUCCUCGUGGUGGUGUCUGUCUCUCUGCUGGUAGUGAUGGUUGCAGUGUACGUGAAGAGACCAAGAGCUGCUGCUGUGUCUCCCUGUCAUGAUGAAUUGUAAACCCUGAACAGAAAUAAACCAGAUGGACAAA